GAAAGUGCCGGGGUUUAAGUGCUUACGGCUCUGCUGUAGGCUUUUUUUAAUCGUAAAUAGAUUGGAGAAUAAGUGGUGGGUAAGACUGGUGCCAGCCGCCGCGGUAACCCCAGCGCCACGAGUGGUCAUCGCGAUUAUUGGGCCUAAAGCGUUCGUAGCCGGUUUGGUGCAUCUCUUGUGAAAUUGUGCUGCUUAACAGUACAGCGUGCAGGGGACACGGCCAGACUCGAGACCGGGAGGCGUGUGAAGUAUUCUAUGGGGACUGGUAAAAUGGGAUAAUCCAUGGAAGACUACCGAUGGCGAAGGCAUCACACGAGAACGGAUCUGACGGUGAGGAACGAAAGCUAGGGGAGCGAACCGGAUUAGAUACCCGAGUAGUCCUAGCCGUAAACGCUGUGAGCUAGGUGUCGCGCAUCUCACGAAGAUGCGCGGUGUCGAAAUGAAGAUGCUAAGCUCACCGCCUGGGAAGUACGGUCGCAAGACUGAAACUUUAAGGAAUUGGCGGGGGCGCACUACAAGGGGUGCGGCGUGCGGUUUAAUCCAACUCAACGCGGAGCACCUUACUAGGAGCGACGGCAGGAUGAAGAUCGCGCUGAAGACGCUAUCAGACGAGCCGAGAGGUAGUGCAUGGCCGCCGUCAGCUCGUGCCGUGAGGUGUCCUGUUAAGUCAGGUAACGAGCAAGACCUGCAUCCACAAUUGCUAACGAACUCUGUGAUCGAGCACAUUGUUGGAGACUGCCCGUGUAAACGGGAGGAAGGUGCAGGCACGGUAGGUCUGUAUGCUCCGAAUCUCUAGUACACGCGCGCAACCAUGGUACAGACAAUUGGAACGCAACUCCGAAGGAGGACCAUCCUUAAACUCUACCUGUUCAGAUCGAGCUACACCCAGCCUCGUACGUCGGAUCCCUAUAUCAGCG
RNAcentral lists this ribosomal RNA (917 nucleotides) under uncultured euryarchaeote. RNAcentral describes it as "bacterial SSU rRNA". It matches the Rfam family "Archaeal small subunit ribosomal RNA", at positions 361 to 1302 of the family's 1478-position model. Lineage: Archaea; Methanobacteriati; Methanobacteriota. The record is from RNAcentral.